Molecule: ribosomal RNA, 484 nt
Filed under: uncultured bacterium
Lineage: Bacteria
Description: bacterial SSU rRNA
Rfam family: Bacterial small subunit ribosomal RNA
Source: RNAcentral
UUGAACGCUGGCGGCAGGCCUAACACAUGCAAGUCGAGCGGAUGAGUGGAGCUUGCUCCAUGAUUCAGCGGCGGACGGGUGAGUAAUGCCUAGGAAUCUGCCUGGUAGUGGGGGGACAACGUUUCGAAAGGAACGCUAAUACCGCAUACGUCCUACGGGAGAAAGCAGGGGACCUUCGGGCCUUGCGCUAUCAGAUGAGCCUAGGUCGGAUUAGCUAGUAGGUGAGGUAAUGGCUCACCUAGGCGACGAUCCGUAACUGGUCUGAGAGGAUGAUCAGUCACACUGGAACUGAGACACGGUCCAGACUCCUACGGGAGGCAGCAGUGGGGAAUAUUGGACAAUGGGCGAAAGCCUGAUCCAGCCAUGCCGCGUGUGUGAAGAAGGUCUUCGGAUUGUAAAGCACUUUAAGUUGGGAGGAAGGGCAGUAAGUUAAUACCUUGCUGUUUUGACGUUACCAACAGAAUAAGCACCGGCUAACUUCGUG